GGGCCCGUUGCCUAGCCCGGUACCUUACGCAAUCUGCGUUGUGUGGGAAUAUAGGGCGCCAGCCUUCUAAGUUGGAGUUCGUGUGUUCAAAUCACACCGGGCCCGCCA
This 108-nucleotide transfer RNA is filed under the name Candidatus Thorarchaeota archaeon. Its description in RNAcentral is "tRNA-Arg". The stretch from base 45 to 105 matches the Rfam family "tRNA". Rfam says of the family: Transfer RNA (tRNA) molecules are approximately 80 nucleotides in length. Their secondary structure includes four short double-helical elements and three loops (D, anti-codon, and T loops). Lineage: Archaea; Promethearchaeati; Candidatus Thorarchaeota. The record is from RNAcentral.